GACGAACGCUGGCGGCGUGCUUAACACAUGCGAGUCGAACGGAAAGGCCCUGCUUUUGUGGGGUGCUCGAGUGGCGAACGGGUGAGUAACACGUGAGUAACCUGCCCUUGACUUUGGGAUAACUUCAGGAAACUGGGGCUAAUACCGGAUAGGAGCUCCUGCUGCAUGGUGGGGGUUGGAAAGUUUCGGCGGUUGGGGAUGGACUCGCGGCUUAUCAGCUUGUUGGUGGGGUAGUGGCUUACCAAGGCUUUGACGGGUAGCCGGCCUGAGAGGGUGACCGGCCACCUUGGGACUGAGAUACGGCCCAGACUCCUACGGGAGGCAGCAGUGGGGAAUAUUGCACAAUGGGCGGAAGCCUGAUGCAGCAACGCCGCGUGCGGGAUGACGGCCUUCGGGUUGUAAACCGCUUUCGCCUGUGACGAAGCGUGAGUGACGGUAAUGGGUAAAGAAGCACCGGCUAACUACGUG
RNAcentral lists this ribosomal RNA (468 nucleotides) under uncultured bacterium. RNAcentral describes it as "partial 16S ribosomal RNA". It matches the Rfam family "Bacterial small subunit ribosomal RNA", at positions 28 to 507 of the family's 1533-position model. The record is from RNAcentral.